This 253-nucleotide ribosomal RNA is filed under the name uncultured bacterium. Its description in RNAcentral is "partial 16S ribosomal RNA". It matches the Rfam family "Bacterial small subunit ribosomal RNA", at positions 524 to 776 of the family's 1533-position model. The record is from RNAcentral.
UACGUAGGGGGCAAGCGUUAUCCGGAUUUACUGGGUGUAAAGGGAGCGUAGACGGCUGUGCAAGUCUGAAGUGAAAGCCCGUGGCUCAACCGCGGAACUGCUUUGGAAACUGUAUAGCUUGAGUACUGGAGAGGCAGGCGGAAUUCCUAGUGUAGCGGUGGAAUGCGUAGAUAUUAGGAGGAACACCAGUGGCGAAGGCGGCCUGCUGGACAGAAACUGACGUUGAGGCUCGAAAGCGUGGGGAGCAAACAGG